UUUGAUGAUUUUCAUCAAUGGAGCAGCUUCUUGGAUUGGAUGGGACAAUUUAGAUUUAAAUAUAGUUUUGUAAUUCUUAUUUUGAUUCUGGAAUUCUGGUUUGCAGAAAAUUUUGUUCAACUUUUUCCUUGUCUUGUUACAUGCUAGAAUUAGAUUAAGUGGAAAUCAUUUAACCAGUGUUACUUUAUAUAAUGUUUACUGGUGUGG
This 207-nucleotide unclassified non-coding RNA is filed under the name Hevea brasiliensis (rubber tree). Lineage: Eukaryota; Viridiplantae; Streptophyta; Magnoliopsida; Malpighiales; Euphorbiaceae. The record is from RNAcentral.